RNAcentral lists this ribosomal RNA (27 nucleotides) under Ophiosimulans sp. Its description in RNAcentral is "partial 18S ribosomal RNA". The record is from RNAcentral. Lineage: Eukaryota; Fungi; Ascomycota; Dothideomycetes; Pleosporales; Phaeosphaeriaceae.
CCUUUGGGGGGACUGCGGAGGACAUUA